Molecule: long non-coding RNA, 234 nt
Filed under: Rattus norvegicus (Norway rat)
Lineage: Eukaryota; Metazoa; Chordata; Mammalia; Rodentia; Muridae
Description: long non-coding RNA NONRATT027251
Source: RNAcentral
CAGACCUGAUGGCAUAAGAUAUGCCAGACUUGCGGUCCCCUGAAACUUCCUCCUUGAUGUGACAAACGGAAAACUAGACUAGGCUGGCUGACUGUGGCUCGUCUGAAAAAAAAGCAAGCUAUACCUUUUUGCAGAAAAAUCAAAUGUUCUUGACCAUGGUCCAAGAUUGUUAUGCAAUGAAAAUUGUGUAUAAAUGUCUGAUGCUCUCUCAGUAAAGUUGCAACAGCUGACCAC